GUGGGGAAUAUUGGACAAUGGGCGCAAGCCUGAUCCAGCAAUACCGCGUGAGUGAAGAAGGUUUUCGGAUCGUAAAACUCUUUUAUUGGGGAAGAAGAAGUGACGGUACCCAAUGAAGAAGUCCCGGCUAACUACGUGCCAGCAGCCGCGGUAAUACGUAGGGGACAAGCGUUGUCCGGAAUCACUGGGCGUAAAGGGCGCGUAGGCGGUUUUAUAAGUCAGAUGUGAAAGGUACCGGCUCAACCGGUGACGUGCAUUUGAAACUGGAAGACUUGAGUACUGGAGAGGCAAGUGGAAUUCCUAGUGUAGCGGUGAAAUGCGUAGAUAUUAGGAGGAACACCGGUGGCGAAGGCGGCUUGCUGGACAGAUACUGACGCUGAGGUGCGAAAGCGUGGGGAGCGAACAGGAUUAGAAACCCGUGUAGUCC
Molecule: ribosomal RNA, 427 nt
Filed under: uncultured bacterium
Lineage: Bacteria
Description: bacterial SSU rRNA
Rfam family: Bacterial small subunit ribosomal RNA
Source: RNAcentral